Small nuclear RNA from Ailuropoda melanoleuca (giant panda), 103 nucleotides. Lineage: Eukaryota; Metazoa; Chordata; Mammalia; Carnivora; Ursidae. The record is from Ensembl.
GCUUACUUCAACAGCAUAUACUAAAACUGGAACCACACAGAGAAGAUUAGCAUAGCCCCUGAGUAAGAAAGACAUGCAAAUUCAUGAAGCCUUCCAUAUUUAU